Molecule: non-coding RNA, 82 nt
Organism: Ceratobasidium sp. 395
Lineage: Eukaryota; Fungi; Basidiomycota; Agaricomycetes; Cantharellales; Ceratobasidiaceae
Source: the annotation of a GenBank genome assembly
GGCCCUAUGGUGUAGUUGGUUAUCACGCAUCCUUCACAUUCGUGCUCGGAUGAGGUCUCAGAUUCGAUCUCUGGUGGGGUCA